UAGGGAAUCUUCCACAAUGGACGCAAGUCUGAUGGAGCAACGCCGCGUGAGUGAAGAAGGCUUUCGGGUCGUAAAACUCUGUUGUUGGAGAAGAAAGGUCGUGAGAGUAACUGUUGUCGGCGUGACGGUAUCCUACCAGAAAGCCACGGCUAACUACGUG
RNAcentral lists this ribosomal RNA (160 nucleotides) under uncultured Lactobacillus sp. RNAcentral describes it as "partial 16S ribosomal RNA". It matches the Rfam family "Bacterial small subunit ribosomal RNA", at positions 355 to 507 of the family's 1533-position model. Lineage: Bacteria; Bacillati; Bacillota; Bacilli; Lactobacillales; Lactobacillaceae. The record is from RNAcentral.